RNAcentral lists this ribosomal RNA (553 nucleotides) under uncultured archaeon. RNAcentral describes it as "bacterial SSU rRNA". It matches the Rfam family "Archaeal small subunit ribosomal RNA", at positions 326 to 879 of the family's 1478-position model. The record is from RNAcentral.
CGGGGUGCAGCAGGCGCGAAAACUUUACAAUGUGGGAAACCGUGAUAAGGGGACACCGAGUGCCAGCAUCAUAUGCUGGCUGUCCGGGUGUGUAAAAUACACCCGUUAGCAAGGGCCGGGCAAGACCGGUGCCAGCCGCCGCGGUAACACCGGCGGCCCGAGUGGUGAUCGUGAUUAUUGGGUCUAAAGGGUCCGUAGCCGGUUUGGUCAGUCCUCCGGGAAAUCUGACGGCUCAACCGUUAGGCUUUCGGGGGAUACUGCCAGGCUUGGAACCGGGAGAGGUAAGAGGUACUACAGGGGUAGGAGUGAAAUCUUGUAAUCCCUGUGAGACCACCUGUGGCGAAGGCGUCUUACCAGAACGGGUUCGACGGUGAGGGACGAAAGCUGGGGGCACGAACCGGAUUAGAUACCCGGGUAGUCCCAGCCGUAAACGAUGCUCGCUAGGUGUCAGGCAUGGCGCGACCGUGUCUGGUGCCGCAGGGAAGCCGUGAAGCGAGCCACCUGGGAAGUACGGCCGCAAGGCUGAAACUUAAAGGAAUUGGCGGGGGAGCAC